CCCGUCUCCCCAGCACAGACUCGGGAGCAACUCCAGAGCCUCCUGCAAGAUGCUGGUGGUUCUACUGACAGCGGCCCUGCUGGCCCUGAGCUCAGCUGAGAGCUCAUACAAAGAGUCUGAGGACCAACACCAGGGCUUUGGUCUGGCACACGAGACUCCAGUGGAUGAUGAUGUUAAAGAUGAAGGCGAUGGUGAAGAUGAAGGCGAUGGUGAAGAUGAGGGUGAUAGCAAAGAAGAGGGUGAUGAUAAACCUGAGAAACCACCCAAGCCACAUCCUCGUCCUCCUCCUCCUGGACCACGUCCAAGACCACCCCAACCCGGAGGCCAGCCUAAGCCUCCUCCACCUCCUCCUCCUGGACAACAACAUGGACCACCCAAACAAGGAGACGAGAAGCAGAAUCGCACUACUCGUUCUUUAAAUCAGCAAGGUCCACCCCCACAAGGAGGUCAGCAGCAGCCCAGUGGUCCUUCUCCUCCUGGAAACCAGCAGGGCCCACCCCAACAAGGAGGCCCACAGAAUCGCCCCCCUCGUUCCUUACAUCAGCAAGGUCCAGCCCCACAAGGAGGUCAGCAGCAGCCCAGUGGUCCUUCUCCUCCUGGAAACCAACAGGGCCCACCUCAACAAGGACGCCCACAGAAUCGCCCUCCUCGCUCCUUAAAUCAGCAAGGUCCAGCCCCACAAGGAGGUCAGCAGCAGCCCAGUGGUCCUCCUCCUCCUGGAAACCAGCAGGGCCCACCCCAACAAGGAGGCCCACAGAAUCGCCCUCCUCGCUCCUUAAAUCAGCAAGGUCCAGGCCCACAAGGAGGUCAGCAGCAGCCCAGUGGUCCUUCUCCUCCUGGAAACCAGCAGGGCCCACCCCAACAAGGAGGCCCACAGAAUCGCCCUCCUCGUUCUUUAUAUAAGCAAGGUCCACCCCCACAAGGAGGUCAGCAGCGGCCCAAUCGUCCUCCUCGUCCUGGAAACCAGCAAGGUCCACCCCAGGAAGAAGGUAAGCAGCUGUAUUUUCCUCAUGACAUCCUGGAAGGCCCCACUGUGCGUCCCAACUUCCCUCAAAGGAUAAACCACCCAGAAUACCCCAGGGAUUGAGCUCAAUGAUCUCAGUGCAGUUCCAGAGUGAAUGAGAAGGUGACGUCCUUCAGAACAUGACCCCGUGGGAAGAACGCAG
This 1166-nucleotide long non-coding RNA is filed under the name Heterocephalus glaber (naked mole-rat). RNAcentral's name for it is "lncRNA (ENSHGLG00000042540.1)". The record is from RNAcentral. Lineage: Eukaryota; Metazoa; Chordata; Mammalia; Rodentia; Bathyergidae.